This 735-nucleotide ribosomal RNA is filed under the name Escherichia coli. RNAcentral's name for it is "partial 23S ribosomal RNA". It matches the Rfam family "Bacterial large subunit ribosomal RNA", at positions 455 to 1191 of the family's 2925-position model. Lineage: Bacteria; Pseudomonadati; Pseudomonadota; Gammaproteobacteria; Enterobacterales; Enterobacteriaceae. The record is from RNAcentral.
AUCCUCCAAGGCUAAAUACUCCUGACUGACCGAUAGUGAACCAGUACCGUGAGGGAAAGGCGAAAAGAACCCCGGCGAGGGGAGUGAAAAAGAACCUGAAACCGUGUACGUACAAGCAGUGGGAGCACGCUUAGGCGUGUGACUGCGUACCUUUUGUAUAAUGGGUCAGCGACUUAUAUUCUGUAGCAAGGUUAACCGAAUAGGGGAGCCGAAGGGAAACCGAGUCUUAACUGGGCGUUAAGUUGCAGGGUAUAGACCCGAAACCCGGUGAUCUAGCCAUGGGCAGGUUGAAGGUUGGGUAACACUAACUGGAGGACCGAACCGACUAAUGUUGAAAAAUUAGCGGAUGACUUGUGGCUGGGGGUGAAAGGCCAAUCAAACCGGGAGAUAGCUGGUUCUCCCCGAAAGCUAUUUAGGUAGCGCCUCGUGAAUUCAUCUCCGGGGGUAGAGCACUGUUUCGGCAAGGGGGUCAUCCCGACUUACCAACCCGAUGCAAACUGCGAAUACCGGAGAAUGUUAUCACGGGAGACACACGGCGGGUGCUAACGUCCGUCGUGAAGAGGGAAACAACCCAGACCGCCAGCUAAGGUCCCAAAGUCAUGGUUAAGUGGGAAACGAUGUGGGAAGGCCCAGACAGCCAGGAUGUUGGCUUAGAAGCAGCCAUCAUUUAAAGAAAGCGUAAUAGCUCACUGGUCGAGUCGGCCUGCGCGGAAGAUGUAACGGGGCUAAACCAUG